RNAcentral lists this ribosomal RNA (467 nucleotides) under uncultured bacterium. RNAcentral describes it as "partial 16S ribosomal RNA". It matches the Rfam family "Bacterial small subunit ribosomal RNA", at positions 355 to 808 of the family's 1533-position model. The record is from RNAcentral.
UGGGGAAUUUUGGACAAUGGGCGAAAGCCUGAUCCAGCAAUGCCGCGUGCAGGAUGAAGGCCUUCGGGUUGUAAACUGCUUUUUGUACGGAACGAAAAAGCUUCUCCUAAUACGAGAGGCCCAUGACGGUACCGUAAGAAUAAGCACCGGCUAACUACGUGCCAGCAGCCGCGGUAAUACGUAGGGUGCGAGCGUUAAUCGGAAUUACUGGGCGUAAAGCGUGCGCAGGCGGUUAUGUAAGACAGAUGUGAAAUCCCCGGGCUCAACCUGGGAACUGCAUUUGUGACUGCAUGGCUAGAGUACGGUAGAGGGGGGAUGGAAUUCCGCGUNUAGCAGUGAAAUGCGUAGAUAUGCGGAGGAACACCGAUGGCGAAGGCAAUCCCCUGGACCUGUACUGACGCUCAUGCACGAAAAGCGUGGGGGAGCAAACAGGAUUAGAUACCCCUGGGUAGUCCACGCCCUAAACG